RNAcentral lists this transfer RNA (71 nucleotides) under Loxodonta africana (African savanna elephant). It matches the Rfam family "tRNA". From Rfam's summary of the family: Transfer RNA (tRNA) molecules are approximately 80 nucleotides in length. Their secondary structure includes four short double-helical elements and three loops (D, anti-codon, and T loops). The record is from Rfam by way of RNAcentral. Lineage: Eukaryota; Metazoa; Chordata; Mammalia; Proboscidea; Elephantidae.
GCAAUGGUGGUUCACAGGUAGAAUUUUCACCUUCCAUAUAGGAGACCUGGGUUCAUGUCCUGGCCAGUGCA